RNAcentral lists this small RNA (319 nucleotides) under Pongo abelii (Sumatran orangutan). The record is from RNAcentral. Lineage: Eukaryota; Metazoa; Chordata; Mammalia; Primates; Hominidae.
GCUGGGCGUGGUGGGGGGCACCUGUAAUCCCAGCUACUUGGGAGGCUGAGGCAGGAGAAUCACUUGAACCCAUGAGGCAGAGGUUGCAGUGAGGGGAGAUUACGCCACUGCACUCCAUUCCGGGUGACAAUGCAAGACUCCAUCAAAAAAAAUAUAAAUAAAUAAAAUAAAUAAAUAUUAAUAAUAAUUUUAAACAAUUAAAAACUAUGGGUUUUUUUUGAGAUGGAGUCUCGCUCUGUCACCCAGGCUGGAGUGCAGUGGCAUGAUCUCGGCUCACUGCAACCUCCGCCUCCUGGGUUCAAGUGAUUCUUCUGCCUCA